Molecule: long non-coding RNA, 1040 nt
Organism: Manis pentadactyla (Chinese pangolin)
Lineage: Eukaryota; Metazoa; Chordata; Mammalia; Pholidota; Manidae
Exons: 5
Source: RefSeq, a predicted model, not a curated record
GUCCACAGUCCUUGUAAGUGGGCUAGGGGCUUCCGGCAAGGGCAAGUGAGCUAGAUUUUCAAGUUACUGGGAAGCAGCUUUUAGGAAGUUAACCUGGAGGGUGGAGGGCAGCUCAGGAACGGCGAGUCUCGCUGGUGCCGUGCCUAGUGGGCUCGCGGCCGAGCGCCGUGGCCGGGUGUUGGGGAGGCUCGCGGGCCGAGCCUCAUGGGUCCUUGUGCGUUUGUCCGGCAGUGCGGUUGCCUCCGUCUCCGGAGCCCGAGGAUCCCGAAGGACGGGCGCCCGCUCCCCGGGCCUGCCGUGGGGAGCGCGCACACCCGAGGGAACUGGAUGGCAGAUUCCUGGCAGAGUAUUAAAGAGGAGCAGCAACCCACGCUGAGGUUGCAAAUCAGUGAAGGGUUGCUGGUACGUGAUGACCAGCUGCUGAGCAUUGGAGCACACAGCAAGCAGAGCGUCGGCCAGCCAUGAGCGUCCGCUGAGCACCUCUGUCCAUUCCCGCAGGGUUUGCGUGCUGCAGAAUGGUGAUAAGUACAGUCCUGAAGCGGCGGCGUCAGCUUAAAAGAGGUUCUUCUCCCAGAGGAUGGUCCGCUGUGCCUGCAGCAGGGGCAGAGUGAGACGUCCCAAGGGCCCGUGGCCACCAUCAGUUUGGACUCAACCUGAUAUAGUCAACAAUGUAAUGACUUUGUAUGUGGUGAGCAUUUUGUAAUGUACCUAAAUGUGGAAUCGCUAUGUUGUAUACCUGAAGCUAAUAAUGCGUCAACUGUACUUAAGUUAGGAAAACAACCUCUAAGGUUCAACACUUGAUGUAGAAAUAUGCUUAAUGCUGAGAUUCAGAGGCCAUUCUUAUCAAUAAUAGAGCCAAGAAAUGUAUUUGCAUCAUUAAAUUCAUGAGUGUUCUAGUGUUUUCCUUUGUUCCAAAGGAACUUCUGUAUUUAGUAUGAAUUUGUUACACUGGAUGAGAGUCUUGAGUUCUUGAAGCUGGAAACAUUUCCUCUCAAAAUUAGUAACUCUCCAUGCAAUUAAACCGACACUGUAAUAAAGGA